Molecule: small RNA, 28 nt
Filed under: Bombyx mori (domestic silkworm)
Lineage: Eukaryota; Metazoa; Arthropoda; Insecta; Lepidoptera; Bombycidae
Description: ovarian small RNA-9017
Source: RNAcentral
UGUCGAAUUCCAACGAGUAGGUACAGAU